RNAcentral lists this ribosomal RNA (301 nucleotides) under uncultured bacterium. RNAcentral describes it as "partial 16S ribosomal RNA". It matches the Rfam family "Bacterial small subunit ribosomal RNA", at positions 509 to 807 of the family's 1533-position model. The record is from RNAcentral.
CAGCCGCCGCGGUAAUACGUAGGGUGCAAGCGUUAAUCGGAAUUACUGGGCGUAAAGCGUGCGCAGGCGGUUUGUUAAGACAGAUGUGAAAUCCCCGGGCUCAACCUGGGAACUGCAUUUGUGACUGGCAAGCUAGAGUAUGGCAGAGGGGGGUGGAAUUCCGCGUGUAGCAGUGAAAUGCGUAGAUAUGCGGAGGAACACCGAUGGCGAAGGCAAUCCCCUGGGCCUGCACUGACGCUCAUGCACGAAAGCGUGGGGAGCAAACAGGAUUAGAGACCCGAGUAGUCCCUGUCUCUUAUAC